Molecule: long non-coding RNA, 312 nt
Organism: Culex pipiens pallens (northern house mosquito)
Lineage: Eukaryota; Metazoa; Arthropoda; Insecta; Diptera; Culicidae
Exons: 3
Source: RefSeq, a predicted model, not a curated record
GCGCCAAUACCACAGUUGGGUAUAGUUUGAACGGUUGUUUGACCAAUACGACUUCAAAACAAAAAUCAUGAACGCUUCAAUUCUGCUGUUUUGCUUGGUGGCGGCGUUCCUAGCCGUACUUGGGGCUGCAGUUCCGGUUGUCGAGAUGGCUGAGAACGAACUAGUAGAACGCGCGCAGCGAGCUGCUAUGGAAGCACCGGAUUGCUUGUGGAUGGGAUGUAUCUAAGAAAAAUCUCGGUCAUAGCCAGUGAAGCUGAAGCGGGAACGAUUUUUCCGAAACCAAAUGAUAGUAAAUAAAUCGUUGUGAAGAAA